UGUGAUCAAAAUAGCCGGCAGCUAGCUCUCUGCUACUCACACAUGGUCGCCCACUAAAGCUAAACAGGGCUGCGCCUGGUCAGUACCUGGAUGGGAGACCACAUGGGAAAGCUAGGUUGGGUGGCAC
Molecule: ribosomal RNA, 127 nt
Filed under: Danio rerio (zebrafish)
Lineage: Eukaryota; Metazoa; Chordata; Actinopteri; Cypriniformes; Danionidae
Source: RNAcentral